RNAcentral lists this unclassified non-coding RNA (254 nucleotides) under Glomus sp. Its description in RNAcentral is "partial contains 5.8S ribosomal RNA and internal transcribed spacer 2". The stretch from base 1 to 65 matches the Rfam family "5.8S ribosomal RNA", at positions 84 to 154 of the family's 154-position model. Lineage: Eukaryota; Fungi; Glomeromycota; Glomeromycetes; Glomerales; Glomeraceae. The record is from RNAcentral.
GUGAAUCAUCAAAUUUUUGAACGCAAAUUGCACUCUCCUCGGAGAGUAUGCCUGUUUGAGGGUGAGCCUAUAAAAAAUCGCCAUCUUUGCUGUUUCGCGGUGGCAAUCGUCGGAAAUUGGGACAUCUUAAAUCUUUUGGUUUUAAUCGCCAUAACAUUUUCUUUUUGUUUCCAUGAACGUUUCUAAGAUUUAUUACUUUACACGUUUAAGGUAUCGAUUUUUAUUAGACGUGACCAUCAUAUCGGAUUGUGCCU